Molecule: ribosomal RNA, 494 nt
Filed under: uncultured bacterium
Lineage: Bacteria
Description: partial 16S ribosomal RNA
Rfam family: Bacterial small subunit ribosomal RNA
Source: RNAcentral
GACGAACGCUGGCGGCGUGCCUAAUACAUGCAAGUCGAACGGUUUAGUUCCAAGAGGCUUGCCUCUUGGAACUAGACAGUGGCGGACGGGCGAGUAACACGUAGGCAACCUACCUGUCAAACCGGGAUAACCGCGGGAAACCGAAGCUAAACCCGGAUAAGCCCCUUUUUCGCCUGACGGGGGAGUGAAAAGGUGCGACCGGAUGACAGAUGGGCCUGCUGCGCAUUAGCUAGUAGGUAGGGUAACGGCCUACCUAGGCGGUGAUGCGUAGCCGACCUGAGAGGGCGUACGGCCACACUGGGACUGGGAUACCGCCCCGGCUACUACGGGAGGGCGCAGUAGGGUAUCUUCGGCAAUGGGCGAGAGCCUGAGCGAGCAACGCCGCGUGAGUGAGGGAGGCCUUCGGGUUGUAAAGCUCUGUUGUUUGGGAAGAAGGGAAAGGGUAGGACCCUUAGGUGACGGUACCAAACGAGAAAGCCCCGGCUAACUACGUG